This 528-nucleotide long non-coding RNA is filed under the name Helianthus annuus (common sunflower). RNAcentral's name for it is "hypothetical non coding rna". Lineage: Eukaryota; Viridiplantae; Streptophyta; Magnoliopsida; Asterales; Asteraceae. The record is from RNAcentral.
UUGAAAUUAACCUGGUCACAAGCAUGUUUGCUUGGUAAACAACGCCCGACGUUCGAUGCAAUGAUUCCGCUCUAAUUAGUGCAGAAAUUAAGGUUCCAACUGCCAUAUUAGAAGGCAAGCUUGACCAGUUACAUUCAGAAGAAGAAGUCAAACAUGGAACCUUAAUUAGAAAAUCAAGAAAUUGAGAGCUUUGUGAAGAUAUUCAAAGGUGUUGGUCAUGGAUGGGCUUCAAGAUAUAGCGAGGAUAAUGAAUCUGUUGAGAGGAGUGCUGAGGUGGCCAAGCAUGUGAUUUUUUAAGCGGGUCGAGUGGUUAUUUUCGUAUCUCACUUAUGAAGGUGUAACAUGAUAUACUUGAAGCCAAGAACCUUACACUCUCAUUCAUCAUUGUAAAGCAUUGUGCUUUGGAGUAGAAUGAUGAGUUAGCUUCUGAAGUUGGAGACUUUACUUGAUGAUAGCAUGGGGCAAAAUGUCGAGUUGGAAUUUGAAAGGAGUGGCACGUCUUUGACCGUUCAGUUGGUGGUGAGCUGA